GGCAUGUUGCCAGAGUGGUUAAUGGGUGAGACUUGAAUUCAUGUAUGAAUUAAGCCAUCUCAUGGCUUCGGCCGCGUAGGUUCAAAUCCUGCACAUGUCG
Molecule: transfer RNA, 100 nt
Organism: Rosellinia necatrix
Lineage: Eukaryota; Fungi; Ascomycota; Sordariomycetes; Xylariales; Xylariaceae
Rfam family: tRNA
About the family: Transfer RNA (tRNA) molecules are approximately 80 nucleotides in length. Their secondary structure includes four short double-helical elements and three loops (D, anti-codon, and T loops).
Source: Rfam